CGUAACAAGGUCUCCGUAGGUGAACCUGCGGAGGGAUCAUUACACAAAUGUGAAGGCGGGCUGGAACCUCUCGGGGUUACAGCCUUGCUGAAUUAUUCACCCUUGUCUUUUGCGUACUUCUUGUUUCCUUGGUGGGUUCGCCCACCACUAGGACAAACAUAAACCUUUUGUAAUUGCAAUCAGCGUCAGUAACAAAUUAAUAAUUACAACUUUCAACAACGGAUCUCUUGGUUCUGGCAUCGAUGAAGAACGCAGCGAAAUGCGAUAAGUAGUGUGAAUUGCAGAAUUCAGUGAAUCAUCGAAUCUUUGAACGCACAUUGCGCCCUUUGGUAUUCCAAAGGGCAUGCCCGUUCGAGCGUCAUUUGUACCCUCAAGCUUUGCUUGGUGUUGGGCGUCUUGUCUCUAGCUUUGCUGGAGACUCGCCUUAAAGUAAUUGGCAGCCGGCCUACUGGUUUCGGAGCGCAGCACAAGUCGCACUCUCUAUCAGCAAAGGUCUAGCAUCCAUUAAGCCUUUUUUUCAACUUUUGACCUCGGAUCAGGUAGGGAUACCCGCUGAACUUAAGCAUAUCA
RNAcentral lists this ribosomal RNA (570 nucleotides) under uncultured fungus. RNAcentral's name for it is "eukaryotic LSU rRNA". The stretch from base 208 to 361 matches the Rfam family "5.8S ribosomal RNA". The record is from RNAcentral. Lineage: Eukaryota; Fungi.